Molecule: ribosomal RNA, 433 nt
Filed under: uncultured bacterium
Lineage: Bacteria
Description: partial 16S ribosomal RNA
Rfam family: Bacterial small subunit ribosomal RNA
Source: RNAcentral
AACGAACGCUGGCGGCAGGCCUAACACAUGCAAGUCGAGCGAGGACUUCGGUUCUAGCGGCGGACGGGUGAGUAACGCGUGGGAAUGUGCCCUUCUCUACGGAAUAGCCCUGGGAAACUGGGAGUAAUACCGUAUACGCCCUAUUGGGGAAAGAUUUAUCGGAGAAGGAUCAGCCCGCGUUGGAUUAGGUAGUUGGUGGGGUAAUGGCCUACCAAGCCGACGAUCCAUAGCUGGUUUGAGAGGAUGAUCAGCCACACUGGGACUGAGACACGGCCCAGACUCCUACGGGAGGCAGCAGUGGGGAAUCUUAGACAAUGGGGGCAACCCUGAUCUAGCCAUGCCGCGUGAGUGAUGAAGGCCUUAGGGUUGUAAAGCUUUUUCAGCUGGGAAGAUAAUGACGGUACCAGCAGAAGAAGCCCCGGCUAACUCCGUG